AUUUCUUAUACUCCAUUUAAUUAAUAACUGCGUUUCAAAGGAGAAGUUCCUUCCCUCUUACAAAAAUGCUAUUUUAUUUUUGAACAGGGAGCUAAGCUAAAUGAAGUAUUCUAAAUCAAUUUACAGAUACUGUGCUAUUUCUGCGGGAUUUCUGAAAGUGCCACACCGCCAGUCCUUUUCUCUGUGGAUCUGCCUGGUUAGACAGAGCAGGCAGCGACUUUAGCAAAGGUGCCUCUGUUUGUUGUGACUACUACUCAUGUGAAAUACUCAGUGUCACAUUGCAGUCUUCCAAGUGCAAUCAGUUCAACUCCAGCGGAAACAACAACAGAACUCGGAGUUGUUCCUGUGGGGCAGAAAGCGUUCACCCUGCUGCUUCCCAGCAGUGCAUCUGGCACCUAGGGCUCACACCGACAGCUCCCUUCCUGGCUCUGAGGAAUCUGAUCUCACACUGAGGAACAGAGAAAUGGCCACCAGUCCCUGUGCAGCCCGACAUGGCCGUGUCCCUGCAUUUCCUCCAGCUGCGACUCUUCACUCAGGAGGAGUCCACUCCCACCCUCGGUUCUCAGCUCAUCCACGAGACCUGCUGUGACCCGAUUCGCAGGGCUGAUGCACCGGUUCUUGCUCCCUUCUUAGUCUGACCUUACCAUGUCCUGAUGUGGGCCUGGAGCAUGAGAAACCUUCUGGAACGAGGACCCCACAGACAGAUCCCCCUGCUGAGGGCCAGACGUGUGCAUGAGACCACUACACACUGCCAACC
This 757-nucleotide long non-coding RNA is filed under the name Fukomys damarensis (Damara mole-rat). Its description in RNAcentral is "lncRNA (ENSFDAG00000024738.1)". The record is from RNAcentral. Lineage: Eukaryota; Metazoa; Chordata; Mammalia; Rodentia; Bathyergidae.